RNA transcript from Raphanus sativus (radish), 2165 nucleotides. RefSeq lists it as uncharacterized. The transcript has 2 exons. The record is from RefSeq and is a predicted model, not a curated record. NCBI's taxonomy places the organism in Eukaryota, Viridiplantae, Streptophyta, Magnoliopsida, Brassicales, Brassicaceae.
CAAAGUAAUUGCAUACUUAAAUUCCACUACUUGAUUCAAAUUCCAAUUUUCAAUAACACUUCCUACAUGUGUAGCUCAAACGGGAGAAAUAGUUUGGUGACUUGUACAGUUGCACUAUAUGUGUACGUCAAUAUUUUGGUGUGUACACACAUACAUGCACAUAUAUAUGUAUAAGGCUAUGAAGCAGUGUCAAGGAGUCUUGAGUUGACCUUAAUACAGUUUAAUAAGAUUAUGAAAUUUCUGAUGACUUUCAUAAACAACCUGCCCGCGAUUGUAUUACGUAGUAGAUUAUGUUAUCUUGAGGUUUUUUAUUGAACUGCGCCAUAAUUUUUGACACAUACGGAAUGAUUUGAAUCAUUAAACCCAUCAUUAUUUAUUCCUAAUAAUAUUAAGUUAAGAGGAGCUAGGGUCCAUUUUCUAUAGAACUUAGUUCUAUGGUUUUAUUAUCCCUACUUAUGAUGAAUAUAUAGUUGCUGACAUAAAGGAUCUUAUUAGAAAAUCGUAAUUGUUUAACUUCUUAUGGAUCACAUAAUAAACUAAAAAGUAUCUAAUGGACAGAGAUUGAGGGGAUGAUUGGUAAUAUAUGUGAGUGCUCCACACAGCCAUAAAUUUCUCUAAAGUAAUAAAACCAAAAUAAUCAAGCUUUAUUAAUAAAAUCCAAAGUUACAGCCCAAAAUUUUUAAAAGGAAAUAUAUUGACUAUAGAAAUUAAAUUUUCUACAGCUUUUAUCAAAUGCUUUAAAAAAUAUUCAAAGUCAAAAAAAUAAAACCAAAACAAAAAUCUUACAGUCUAUUUUUCAAAACAAAAAAUCUAAAGCUACAAGCAACAACCAAUCAACCCCUAAAUCACUUGAAGAAACUUUGCCUUACAUAACGUUCUAUCACUAGGCGAUGCCCACUAUUUACAUUCUAUGUACCUACCUAUCAAAUCUAUUCUAAACCAAAUUAACAUUUAAAGAUAUAAUUUAUAUUUUCAAGAACUAUAGGUAAUUAGUACAUGAGAAUGACUUUUACUAAUAUCAACAUGUAAGAACUUAUUAAAGUUAAUUACUAAUUAGGAGAUAUACACUAAGCGUAGACGCUUAACUUUAAUUUACUUUCUUAUUUUUAUAUCUAGUUUAUAAAAAAUAUGUAUGAUCAUACCAACAGUAUAAAUUAAAAAAGAACGAUCAUCUAACCAAAUUUGAAAAAAAAGAGUCUAACAACACCAUUAAUUAGGACAUAUAUAAAACCUAUUAUAUAAUGCGUGAUGAGUAUAGUGAAGAGCCAGAUUUCUCUCCAAAUAAUCUCGAUAAGAAGUAUUAUCCGUAAAAAAAAAAAAAAGAGUUCCCACUCGAUUUUUUUGGUUUAACGCCACGUGUGCAUAAUAUCUAAUCGAACAGCUCUCUUGUCUGAAAGCAAUGGGCAAAUCUGUGGAACCCAAAGACUCUGACACGAAACUAUGGGUCCUAAAACAGCGUCGUUUAGCGGAAGCUUGCGUACUAAAACACAGAAAAAAAAACGAAAACUGCAAGGAUUCAAAAAAGCUCUUAAUCAGAAGCAAACAAAAACCACCUCUGACAGUUGAAUUUUUUUUAGAUAAAAAAGCCUCUAUCUUCUUUGUUUUUGGUUACUGUUUUCACGAGAGUGUCUUCUCUAUUCGCUGUUACUCUUUCCUUUCCUUCUGAGUUAUGGUGUGAAAUGAUGGCAGCAGCAGAAGCAAGAGCAGUGUGGCAAAGAACAGCCAACCGUUACUUUGUCCAAGAAGACUCUAAAAGAGCUCCCAAGCUAACAACCUCUUCCCACUCUUCUUCAUCAUCAACGAAACAGGUUCAAGAAGAUCCUGUCUCUUCUCCUCCUCCUGUUGUUCGUCCACAGAACCAACCAUCUUCUCCAGGUUUCAUGCCUCUGAAUAUUCCUCUUCUGUUGGGUCAUCACAUUCAAGAAGAUUUGCUCCUGGGAUGGACUGUUGGAUGGAUGUAGUUGAUAUCUUUGUAGUUCAAAGCGAAGAGGAGAAUAGAGAGAGACCUGGAAAGUUUUGUUUUUUUUUCUUUGAAAAAUGUAACUCUUCUUGAAAUGAGUUUUUUAAGAUUUACUUGUAUUGUAAUGCUGCAGCUUAUGGAUUUGGUUAAAUGAGAGAAUGUAAUUUGUUGUAAGAAUUUUGUUAAAUAUUGUGUGUUUAUAAUA